Molecule: non-coding RNA, 91 nt
Organism: Acanthosepion pharaonis
Lineage: Eukaryota; Metazoa; Mollusca; Cephalopoda; Sepiida; Sepiidae
Source: the annotation of a GenBank genome assembly
UACCGGUUCCCGUACGAUCAGGGAAUUUAAGCAACAUCGAGUCUGGUCAGUACUUCGAUGGGUGAACACUUGGGAAUAAAAGCUGCUGUAA